Molecule: ribosomal RNA, 1221 nt
Filed under: uncultured bacterium
Lineage: Bacteria
Description: bacterial SSU rRNA
Rfam family: Bacterial small subunit ribosomal RNA
Source: RNAcentral
AGCGACAGGCCUAACACAUGCAAGUCGAGGGAUAUCCCUUCGGGGAGAAACCGGCGCACGGGUGAGUAACGCGUAUGUAACCUGCCCAUAAGUGGGGGAUAGCCCAGUGAAAACUGGAUUAAUACCGCAUAAUACCUCUUGAUGGCAUCUGAAGGAGGUUAAAGAUUUAUCGCUUAUGGAUGGACAUGCGUUGGAUUAGCUGGUUGGCGGGGUAACGGCCCACCAAGGCGACGAUCCAUAGGGGUUCUGAGAGGAAGGUCCCCCACACUGGUACUGAGACACGGACCAGACUCCUACGGGAGGCAGCAGUGGGGAAUAUUGGUCAAUGGGCGGAAGCCUGAACCAGCCAAGUCGCGUGAAGGAUGAAGGUAUUAUGUAUUGUAAACUUCUUUAGCCAGGGGGCAAUAAGGCGUACGCGUACGCCGAUGAGAGUACCUGGAGAAUAAGGAUCGGCUAACUCCGUGCCAGCAGCCGCGGUAAUACGGAGGAUCCGAGCGUUAUCCGGAUUUAUUGGGUUUAAAGGGUGCGCAGGCGGCUUUUUAAGUCAGUGGUUAAAUCGUGACGCUCAACGUCAUCACGCCAUUGAUACUGGAGAGCUUGAUUGCGGUCGAGGUUUGCGGAAUUCGUCGUGUAGCGGUGAAAUGCAUAGAUAUGACGAAGAACACCGAUUGCGUAGGCAGCAGACCAGGCCGUAAAUGACGCUCAUGCACGAAAGUGCGGGGAUCGAACAGGAUUAAAUACCCUGGUAGUCCCGCACAAUAAACGAUGAAUACUUGCUUUUUGGCGAUAUGAUGGUUCAGAGGGCAAAGCGAAAGCCGAUAAGUUUUCCCACCUGGGGAGUACGCCGGCAACCGGUGAAACUCAAAGGAAUUGACGGGGGCCCGCACAAGCGGAGGAACAUGUGGUUUAAUUCGAUGCUACGCGAGGAACCUUACCCGGGCUUGAAAGUUAGCGGCGGAGGUGGAAACACCUCUUCCCUUCGGGGCGCGAAACUAGGUGCUGCAUGGUUGUCGUCAGCUCGUGCCGUGAGGUGUCGGCUUAAGUGCCAUAACGAGCGCAACCCUUUUCCGUAGUUACCAUCAUUAGGUUGGGAACUCUGCGGACACUGCCAUCGUAAGAUGCGAGGAAGGAUGGGAUGACGUCAAAUCAGCACGGCCCUUACGUCCGGGGCGACACACGUGUUACAAUGGCAUGGACAGAAAGGAUCGACCGGGCGACCGG